GAUGAACGCUAGCGGCAGGCUUAACACAUGCAAGUCGAGGGGCAGCGCGGGAUAGCAAUAUCCUGGCGGCGACCGGCGGAAGGGUGCGUAACGCGUGAGCGACAUGCCCGUUGCCCGGGGACAACCGGUGGAAACGCCGACUAAUCCCCGAUGGGAUGUUGUGCCGCAUGGCACGAUAUUGAAAGUUACGGCGGCGACGGGUUGGCUCGCGUCCGAUUAGCUUGUUGGCGGGGUAACGGCCCACCAAGGCUGCGAUCGGUAGGGGUUCUGAGAGGAAGGCCCCCCACAAUGGGACUGAGACACGGCCCAUACUCCUACGGGAGGCAGCAGUGAGGAAUAUUGGUCAAUGGGCGGAAGCCUGAACCAGCCAUGCCGCGUGCGGGAAGGAGGCCCUAUGGGCUGUGAACCGCUUUUGCCUGGGGGCAAUAGGGGCGUCGCGCACGUCCGAUGAGAGUACCAGGCGAAUAAGCAUCGGCUAACUCCGUG
RNAcentral lists this ribosomal RNA (486 nucleotides) under uncultured bacterium. RNAcentral's name for it is "partial 16S ribosomal RNA". It matches the Rfam family "Bacterial small subunit ribosomal RNA", at positions 28 to 507 of the family's 1533-position model. The record is from RNAcentral.